GGCUGAGAUGAGCCUCAGUAGUUCAGACUUUCUUUACCUUUCUUUUGCUAUUUUUAGGCCCAGCUGUGGUCCCUCACCAGUAUUAUGGAGUUACUCCCUGGGGAGUCUACCCUGCCAGUCUUUUCCAGCAGCAAGCUGCCGCUGCCGCUGCAGCAACUAAUUCAGCUAAUCAACAGACCACCCCACAGGCUCAGCAAGGACAGCAGCAGGUUCUCCGUGGAGGAGCCAGCCAACGUCCUUUGACCCCAAACCAGAACCAGCAGGGACAGCAAACGGAUCCCCUUGUGGCAGCUGCAGCAGUGAAUUCUGCCCUUGCAUUUGGACAAGGUCUGGCAGCAGGCAUGCCAGGUGCGGCUGCAUUGUUAUUCCUAAUACUUUGGCAGGGAAAAAGGCUGCACGUUUGAGGUUAUCCGGUGUUGGCUCCUGCUGCUUACUAUGACCAAACUGGUGCCCUUGUAGUGAAUGCAGGCGCGAGAAAUGGUCUUGGAGCUCCUGUUCGACUUGUAGCUCCUGCCCCAGUCAUCAUUAGUUCCUCAGCUGCACAAGCAGCUGUUGCAGCAGCCGCAGCUUCAGCAAAUGGAGCAGCUGGUGGUCUUGCUGGAACAACAAAUGGACCAUUUCGCCCUUUAGGAACACAGCAGCCUCAGCCCCAGCCCCAGCAGCAGCCCAAUAACAACCUGGCAUCCAGUUCUUUCUACGGCAACAACUCUCUGAACAGCAAUUCACAGAGCAGCUCCCUCUUCUCCCAGGGCUCUGCCCAGCCUGCCAACACAUCCUUGGGAUUCGGAAGUAGCAGUUCUCUCGGCGCCACC
Molecule: long non-coding RNA, 812 nt
Filed under: Homo sapiens (human)
Lineage: Eukaryota; Metazoa; Chordata; Mammalia; Primates; Hominidae
Description: non-protein coding lnc-SDC3-1:3
Source: RNAcentral